This 262-nucleotide ribosomal RNA is filed under the name uncultured bacterium. Its description in RNAcentral is "partial 16S ribosomal RNA". It matches the Rfam family "Bacterial small subunit ribosomal RNA", at positions 57 to 305 of the family's 1533-position model. The record is from RNAcentral.
GCAAGUCGAGCGGACUUGAUGGAGAGCUUGCUCUCCUGAUGGUUAGCGGCGGACGGGUGAGUAACACGUAGGCAACCUGCCUGCAAGACCGGGAUAACCCACGGAAACGAGAGCUUAUACCGGAAAUCUCAUUUCCUCUCCUGAGGGAAUGAUGAAAGACGGAGCAAUCUGUCACUUGCGGAUGGGCCUACGGCGGAUUAGCUAGUUGGUGAGGUAACGGCUCACCAAGACGACGAUGCGUAGCCGACCUGAGAGGGUGAAC